This 1445-nucleotide ribosomal RNA is filed under the name Vibrio sp. PaD3.10b. RNAcentral describes it as "bacterial SSU rRNA". It matches the Rfam family "Bacterial small subunit ribosomal RNA". The record is from RNAcentral. Lineage: Bacteria; Pseudomonadati; Pseudomonadota; Gammaproteobacteria; Vibrionales; Vibrionaceae.
AUUGAACGCUGGCGGCAGGCCUAACACAUGCAAGUCGAGCGGAAACGAGUUAUCUGAACUUUCGGGGGACGAUAACGGCGUCGAGCGGCGGACGGGUGAGUAAUGCCUAGGAAAUUGCCCUGAUGUGGGGGAUAACCAUUGGAAACGAUGGCUAAUACCGCAUAAUGCCUACGGGCCAAAGAGGGGGACCUUCGGGCCUCUCGCGUCAGGAUAUGCCUAGGUGGGAUUAGCUAGUUGGUGAGGUAAUGGCUCACCAAGGCGACGAUCCCUAGCUGGUCUGAGAGGAUGAUCAGCCACACUGGAACUGAGACACGGUCCAGACUCCUACGGGAGGCAGCAGUGGGGAAUAUUGCACAAUGGGCGCAAGCCUGAUGCAGCCAUGCCGCGUGUGUGAAGAAGGCCUUCGGGUUGUAAAGCACUUUCAGUCGUGAGGAAGGUGGUGUAGUUAAUAGCUGCAUUAUUUGACGUUAGCGACAGAAGAAGCACCGGCUAACUCCGUGCCAGCAGCCGCGGUAAUACGGAGGGUGCGAGCGUUAAUCGGAAUUACUGGGCGUAAAGCGCAUGCAGGUGGUUUGUUAAGUCAGAUGUGAAAGCCCGGGGCUCAACCUCGGAAUAGCAUUUGAAACUGGCAGACUAGAGUACUGUAGAGGGGGGUAGAAUUUCAGGUGUAGCGGUGAAAUGCGUAGAGAUCUGAAGGAAUACCGGUGGCGAAGGCGGCCCCCUGGACAGAUACUGACACUCAGAUGCGAAAGCGUGGGGAGCAAACAGGAUUAGAUACCCUGGUAGUCCACGCCGUAAACGAUGUCUACUUGGAGGUUGUGGCCUUGAGCCGUGGCUUUCGGAGCUAACGCGUUAAGUAGACCGCCUGGGGAGUACGGUCGCAAGAUUAAAACUCAAAUGAAUUGACGGGGGCCCGCACAAGCGGUGGAGCAUGUGGUUUAAUUCGAUGCAACGCGAAGAACCUUACCUACUCUUGACAUCCAGAGAACUUUCCAGAGAUGGAUUGGUGCCUUCGGGAACUCUGAGACAGGUGCUGCAUGGCUGUCGUCAGCUCGUGUUGUGAAAUGUUGGGUUAAGUCCCGCAACGAGCGCAACCCUUAUCCUUGUUUGCCAGCGAGUAAUGUCGGGAACUCCAGGGAGACUGCCGGUGAUAAACCGGAGGAAGGUGGGGACGACGUCAAGUCAUCAUGGCCCUUACGAGUAGGGCUACACACGUGCUACAAUGGCGCAUACAGAGGGCAGCAAGCUAGCGAUAGUGAGCGAAUCCCAAAAAGUGCGUCGUAGUCCGGAUUGGAGUCUGCAACUCGACUCCAUGAAGUCGGAAUCGCUAGUAAUCGUGGAUCAGAAUGCCACGGUGAAUACGUUCCCGGGCCUUGUACACACCGCCCGUCACACCAUGGGAGUGGGCUGCAAAAGAAGUAGGUAGUUUAACCUUCGGGAGGACG